Molecule: long non-coding RNA, 214 nt
Filed under: Elaeis guineensis (African oil palm)
Lineage: Eukaryota; Viridiplantae; Streptophyta; Magnoliopsida; Arecales; Arecaceae
Description: long non-coding RNA (EGUI_LNC043295)
Source: RNAcentral
AUCGACGACUACGAGGUGGUCAUUGGUAUGUCCUUGCUUACCCAGCUACAAGCCAUGGUGAAAGCGGAUUCAUAUGUGGUGGUAGUCCUGAAUUCAAGCAGGCCUUGCGUGGUUCUAGGAAAGCGAGUUAGAGGGACUCCGCAGCGAGUCCUAUCAGCGAUGCAACUUGCUAAGGGGCUGAGAAUGGGACUUCCAACAUACAUUACAUCCCUUC